UGGGGAAUAUUGGACAAUGGAGGAAACUCUGAUCCAGCAAUUCUGUGUGUGUGAAGAAGGUUUUAGGACUGUAAAACACUUUUAGUAGGGAAGAAAAAAAUGACGGUACCUACAGAAGAAGCAACGGCCAAAUACGUGCCAGCAGCCGCGGUAAUACGUAUGUUGCGAGCGUUAUCCGGAAUUAUUGGGCUUAAAGGGCAUCUAGGCGGUAAGACAAGUUGAAGGUGAAAACCUGUGGCUCAACCAUAGGCUUGCCUACAAAACUGUUGAACUAGAGUACUGGAAAGGUGGGUGGAACUACACGAGUAGAGGUGAAAUUCGUAGAUAUGUGUAGGAAUGCCGAUGAUGAAGAUAACUCACUGGACAGAAACUGACGCUGAAGUGCGAAAGCUAGGGGAGCAAACAGG
RNAcentral lists this ribosomal RNA (407 nucleotides) under Verrucomicrobiota bacterium. RNAcentral's name for it is "Verrucomicrobia bacterium partial 16S ribosomal RNA". It matches the Rfam family "Bacterial small subunit ribosomal RNA", at positions 355 to 776 of the family's 1533-position model. Lineage: Bacteria; Pseudomonadati; Verrucomicrobiota. The record is from RNAcentral.